RNAcentral lists this ribosomal RNA (67 nucleotides) under Virgibacillus pantothenticus. Its description in RNAcentral is "partial 16S ribosomal RNA". It matches the Rfam family "Bacterial small subunit ribosomal RNA", at positions 1467 to 1533 of the family's 1533-position model. The record is from RNAcentral. Lineage: Bacteria; Bacillati; Bacillota; Bacilli; Caryophanales; Bacillaceae.
ACCAAUGAUUGGGGUGAAGUCGUAACAAGGUAGCCGUAUCGGAAGGUGCGGCUGGAUCACCUCCUUU